RNAcentral lists this ribosomal RNA (370 nucleotides) under uncultured bacterium. RNAcentral describes it as "bacterial SSU rRNA". It matches the Rfam family "Bacterial small subunit ribosomal RNA", at positions 527 to 896 of the family's 1533-position model. The record is from RNAcentral.
AGAGGGUGCAAGCGUUAAUCGGAAUUACUGGGCGUAAAGCGCGCGUAGGCGGCUUGACAAGUCGAGUGUGAAAUCCCCGGGCUUAACCUGGGACCUGCAUUCGAAACUGUCUUGCUAGAGUAUGGGAGAGGGAAGUGGAAUUUCAGGUGUAGCGGUGAAAUGCGUAGAUAUCUGAAGGAACAUCAGUGGCGAAAGCGACUUCCUGGACCAAUACUGACGCUCAGGUGCGAAAGCGUGGGGAGCAAACAGGAUUAGAUACCCUGGUAGUCCACGCCAUAAACGAUGACAACUAGAUGUUGGGAGGGUUAGCCUCUCGGUGUCGUAGCUAACGCGUUAAGUUGUCCGCCUGGGGAGUACGGCCGCAAGGUUG